RNAcentral lists this long non-coding RNA (748 nucleotides) under Olea europaea subsp. europaea. The record is from RNAcentral. Lineage: Eukaryota; Viridiplantae; Streptophyta; Magnoliopsida; Lamiales; Oleaceae.
AAAACUUCAAAACUUCUAAAUUGAGUAAGUUUAUUACCUUGAAAAUCAUGAAUACAAAUAAUGAUACUAAGCCUUUUAUGCCUUUCUUAGAUGGCUAGAGGUCCAGCCCAGACUAGAAGAGAGAUGAUUAAGAAACAGAAUAGAUCAAGGUCAUUACACCUCCUUAGGUUUUAUAUAAGGAACCCAAGCUACAAUCUCGUAGAGCAUUUGGAUGUUAUUGAGGCCAUUUAUCGAGGGGCUCAACUAAAUGGACACGUGUUUAGCACAGAUGAGGCAAUUUUUCCUCUACUUAGAACCCUUACCGGAUAUUGGAAAGACUUCACGGAAUGACUCGAUGAAAUGUAUGAUGACACAUAUCUGCCAAACACCUUAUUAAGAGCCUUAGAGAAAGAUGGAUGACCAAUAGCGAGGAUUAUAGAGUUAUUGAAAGGCCUGAAGGGUACGAGCCGAAUAAAUGUCGAUGUCAUCCUCGUAUCAUGCCCAAUGGGAGCAGUCACGAGGAAAUACCAGGGAUAGACAGUGAGGACAACAUAAUAGAGUAUGUGCCCAGAGACUCUAGGGAGGAAGAAGACUCUUCGGAGGACCCAGAACCAAGCCACGAUGAGAGCACUGGGAAAACUACUAGAUUAUAGUCUUAUGUUUAGAUUCUUGAUCUAGUAUAUGAUUUUCUAUGUUUGUAUGGACACUUGGUAUACCUUGCAAUCCCUUUUCCUAGUAGAUUUUCCUUUUGCUUGGACUUUGGGUAUGC